UUUGGGCAAAUAAAUGCAUUUUAAGCAGGCAGCCUUAGCAGGCAGUGCUGUCUGCUGCCAUUUUUGCCCUAAAUUAAUGCAGAAGGUUUCUGUCUGGCUUCUUUGAGCAUGGAGGCCGGGUCGUUCCCCUUCUUACAUG
Erpetoichthys calabaricus (reedfish) is the source of this 139-nucleotide non-coding RNA. The record is from Ensembl. NCBI's taxonomy places the organism in Eukaryota, Metazoa, Chordata, Cladistia, Polypteriformes, Polypteridae.